Doryrhamphus excisus (bluestripe pipefish) is the source of this 266-nucleotide long non-coding RNA. RefSeq lists it as uncharacterized. The record is from RefSeq and is a predicted model, not a curated record. Lineage: Eukaryota; Metazoa; Chordata; Actinopteri; Syngnathiformes; Syngnathidae.
UGUGUGUGUGUGUGUGUGUGUGUGUGUGUGAUGGGUGCUCCAUGUGACAGAGUGGAUUGAUCAUGACACAAACAGAUGUAUGUCGGUGCAAACAUGCAGAAUUGUCACGCUGAUGACAACCCCAGCUGAAGCGCUACAGAUGUGCGUGCCAGUGACGUGCAGUGAUGUCCGUGGCUGAUUUAAACCCUGUAGAACAUCUAUGAGAUAUUCUGGAUUGCCAGGUGAGAAGGUGUGAUCCAGAAGCGGCCGCAGUCCAACAGUUGCGU